Molecule: ribosomal RNA, 465 nt
Filed under: uncultured bacterium
Lineage: Bacteria
Description: partial 16S ribosomal RNA
Rfam family: Bacterial small subunit ribosomal RNA
Source: RNAcentral
CCUACGGGAGGCAGCAGUAGGGAAUCUUCCACAAUGGGCGCAAGCCUGAUGGAGCAACACCGCGUGAGUGAAGAAGGGUUUCGGCUCGUAAAGCUCUGUUGGUGGAGAAGAACGUGCGUGAGAGUAACUGUUCACGCAGUGACGGUAUCCAACCAGAAAGUCACGGCUAACUACGUGCCAGCAGCCGCGGUAGUACGUAGGUGGCAAGCGUUAUCCGGAUUUAUUGGGCGUAAAGCGAGCGCAGGCGGUUGCUUAGGUCUGAUGUGAAAGCCUUGGGCUUAACCGAAGAAGUGCAUCGAAAACCGGGCGACUUGAGGGCAGAAGAGGACAGUGGAAUGUAAGGUGUAGCGGUGGAAUGCGUAGAGAUAUGGAAGAACACCAGUGGCGAAGGCGGCUGUCUGGUCUGCAACUGACGUUGAAGCACGAAAGCGUGGGGAUCGAACAGGAUUAGAUACCCCAGUAGUC